This is an RNA transcript of Cryptomeria japonica (Japanese cedar), 2533 nucleotides long. RefSeq lists it as uncharacterized. The record is from RefSeq and is a predicted model, not a curated record. The transcript has 6 exons. NCBI's taxonomy places the organism in Eukaryota, Viridiplantae, Streptophyta, Pinopsida, Cupressales, Cupressaceae.
AAUCCCAUAGAACGUAAAAUCUGUGUAUACAUGAAGUUAAGCUAUAACGAUUCCCUAGUUUGACAUGGUCCAAUCUAGCGGAAAGAGGGAAGUUAAAAAGAGGGGCGUGAGCAAGGUUGAAAUUAUUUUUUCAAAUUAUUUUUUCUUUUCUAAAAAGGUAUCAAAUGAAUGACUAAAAAAAUCUUCCAUUCUUCUCUUCAACUUUUCACACAUUCAUUUUUUUUACUGGACAUCGCCAGUCUAUCCCUUCCUGUGCUCUAAGUUUUUACACCAUGCAAAAUCUUAAAAAGAAGACCUUGCAGAUUUUCGAUUUGAGUCCCUGCGUAGCAGAUGGUCUUCCAUGAAGUAAGAUUGCAGACAAGUGUACUAGUUUUAUUACUAGCUUUUCAGGAGUGGAUGACAACCACUUGGCCAUGAGAUAUCAAGGUGGUAGUCAGGAGGAUUCUCCUGCAAGCGACGGGAACAAAACCCAUUUCAAAGUAAACAAGAGGAAUGAAAAUGGCGUUGCGAUUGGAAAGUUCGUUUGUAAAAAGAACCAAGCUGUGAUUUUGAAAGGAAAAGGAGAAAUGAGCAAGGGGGCUUUCUCAAACAAUAAUAACAGUUAUCAUCCGGAUUCUUCGUUUGAGCCAUUAAAUGGCAAUAUCAAGAAUCAAGAAGAUCAAAAGCAGCCCAUGAAAAAUAGGAUUCCAGGAGGCGAUCUGUUGUCUCAAUGGAGACAGAAGAAGAGGUCUAGGGGUUGCAGGGCUAAUAUGGUUGAUGAUUCUGCUAGAAAAUCUGAUAUUAAUGCUACCAGGAAUGGUGACCAUAUUCCAUCCAUAUGUCACGUGGCUUCUAUUCAUCCUACAAAUAUCACCUCUUUACCCAUGAGAAGGAGUCCUGAAUAUGAGGCUGCUUGUGGAAGCAAUGGAGUCUUGUUUAAUAAGAGGGCAGAAGAGCAUUCUCCAGAAUCUUCUUGCGUGCCUGACAAAAUCACCCCUUGCAAGGAUGGGGAUGUGGGGGACUGCAUUGCUCCAGCUUCUUUGAUUCCUUCAGAGAUAGAAGCCUUUGCUCAGCCUCCCGAGAAUAUGGAUAUGGACAAAUUUCCAUGGCCUAGGAUAUUGAUCGCAUUAUCAAGGAAGGAGAAGGAAUGCGACUUUUUAGUCAUUAAGGGCAGCAAGCUUCCACAGAGGCCUAAAAAGCGCCCGAAAAUCGUUGAAAGGAAUUUACAGAAUUGCUGUCCUGGGUUUUGGCUUUCAGAUGUGGCAAGGGGAAGAUAUGACGUGAGGGAAAAGAAGAGUAUAAAGAAGAAGCCAAUGGGUCUGAAGGCUAUGGAGAGUACAGGCAGUGAUUCGGAUUAAACUCAAGAUAUAUGAUUAAAGCAGUAGUCUACAAUCUGCAGCUGCCUUGUUGCUUCAACCAUUUUCUUUUCCACGCCUUAUUUGGGAAAUGCUUCCAAGCAAUAGAAUUCUUUUCCACUGUGAAGUCUUCCUACAGGCAGCGGCAUUUUUUGAAACUUAUGGUCUAUGAUAUAUGUCUGAUCGUCUUCUUGAGCCCUAAAUCUACAUCCGUUGCUUGGAUUGAUAUUCAACAAUUUAAUUACACUGUUACAUCUUGGCUUGUAUAUGAUGUCAUCUGAACAAGGGAGAUCCUCAAGAUAUAGAUCUGACAUACUUAAUGACCCUUGCAAGGAUGCGUCUAUUUCAACGAGGCUAUUUUCAUUUUCAAGCUUCAGGAUAAUAGUAAUACACCAAAGAGGCUUCUGUAAAAUAUUACCAAAAUACUUUCAUUACGCAUUUACCUCAUUUGUUUCACUAGUCCAAUUAUUUGUAUGGAAUCUUUAAAUUGUGUCAAUAUGUCUAUAUGCGUCGUUGAGGCAACAAAGCGUAUCUCUUAUGUAAUCAGUUAUUCUAAAAACUAUGCACGUUCCCCAGAUCUAGAUUUAUAUUGCAGUAAUAGUAUCCACUGGCAGUAAUUUCUGACCUAGUCAAAACAUAUGACACAAUUAAAUGUUUUUUAGUUGUCCAGUGCUCCAUAAUUUACAUUUUUCAGAAAACGUGUAGCUUCUAAACAUUUCAUGAAUUGAACAUUUUUCAACAAUUUGAUCAUAGAUAUUCUCUAAAACAUUUCUUUGAGUACUGCUUUAUUGCCUUAUAAUUGAUAUCUGCAUAAUAGAUAAAAUAGAGACUUCCAAACUAGCAAAGACAACUAUUUAAUUUACCUGUCAAAUAUGUAAUGAGUUCAACAGCCCAAUUUCAAAUCAAGAGACAACUACAGAAUAUAUGUACUAAAUAGCUGCACAGAGUGCACUCUGCAUCUUAAGACCAUGCACAAAAAGAUGAACUCUCUUUUGUCUUUGUUAGACUUUAAAUGUGCCUCUGUUCAACAAAAUUCUUUUUUAUUCAUGCUUCAUUACUGAGCACUAGGUAAGUUCAUGCUACAACAUUGUGGCUACCAAAAUAUAUACAACUAACUUAUAUUGGGAAUAGAAGCGGGUGAUUUGAUUUUGCAAUACAGUUUGUAGAUGCUAAGCAUUUUUGCUGGUGAUUAUUUCUCG